Molecule: long non-coding RNA, 1390 nt
Organism: Ostrea edulis (European flat oyster)
Lineage: Eukaryota; Metazoa; Mollusca; Bivalvia; Ostreida; Ostreidae
Exons: 3
Source: RefSeq, a predicted model, not a curated record
UACAUAAUAAAAUGUAUACUGUCUGUGUCAGUGAAAUGUAUAUAAUACAACCCGCCAGCCCGCAUCACCAAACCAAUAGCCGAGUUCAACUUCGUUGCAACUCUGCUAAAAAUGUAUACUGUCUGUGUCAGUGAAAUGUACAUAAUAAAAUGUAUACUGUCUGUGUCAGUGAAAUGUACAUAAUGAAAUGUAUACUGUCUGUGUCAGUGAAAUGUACGGUACUGUCUGUGUCAGUGAAAUGUAGCCCUUUGGGCUCGGUGAAUAUUGUACUCCUCAGGACCCAUAUUUACUAAAGUUCGUAGACGUAGACGUAAACGUGGGAUUUACGUCUGACUUAAGAUUAGAGUUACGUACUCGUGAAAUGGUAUUUACAAAACCGUUCGUAGCCGCAAACGUAACUUACGAUGUACGAUUGCACGUACGUGUGCGCAGUGGCUAUUUUCACUUCGAAGCGUAAAAAGUGUGAAUUUGCUCAUUUACUUUGACUUCCCUGCGCUACCGCUGCAUUAUGACGAAAAAGAACACAGAACUUUGUGAGAACGCAACGAAUUUCAACGUAUACGUAUGCCUGCCAACGGCAUGUCGAUCAACUGUACCGCUAUUCAGUGUUGUUUACAAAUCCAAAUGGAAGGUUCAUCAAAUUUAACGCAUUUGACUUGUGCAUGGAUCUGCGAUGCUGUAGGUCUUCAAAAAGAAGUCGGCAUGGACUGACAAGGUCAUAAAGGUGGUCAAGAAAUAAAUUGCCAAAAGACAGCAGCAUUCCUUGAAUUAGAUACAUUUCUCUUCAUGUCCUCUCCUGAAAGAUUUUCCAUGAUGCCUCAGGGUUAGGACUGGGAUGCAAGAUGUACAGUACAUAUAUAUGAUGUCUAUGGGUACAUUGCUGUAAUGGCCUGUAAAAUCUUUUGCGAAACCGAGAAAUGUUCAUCUUCCAUUGCCAUGAUUGUGUAAAAGGACGAGCAGAGGAAUGAUUCAAAAAUAUAUGGCAGGAUUGAGAAUCUAACCCAUGACCCGUAGUCUGGUACUCUACCCACUGAUCAAUCCAUGCUGAUGGUCCAUCUGCUACAUUGAUGUCAUCUUAUAUAUUUAUUUAUUCAUUUAUAUAUCAUAUGGACAUUUAAAAAUUGACAGUAAAAUAAAAAAAAGUUUGAUAUUCAGCAAAACAGAAUUUGUUACAAUACAUGUUUAAGAAAUUAAGUACAUGUACAUGCAUUGUUAUGCAUACAAUUAUGUACAUGUAAUUAUAUUUGUUAAUACAUAAAUUCUUAGAUGAAUUUUCAUGUUGUUAUUGAUAUUGACAUGUACAUGUAUUACUUCCAUUUCUAGAAUGAUUUUAACAUCUUGAUAUUAAAAUGAUGACAUAAUAAAUAAAUCUUAAAUAUUUGUCAACAAA